RNAcentral lists this ribosomal RNA (327 nucleotides) under uncultured eukaryote. RNAcentral describes it as "partial 18S ribosomal RNA". It matches the Rfam family "Eukaryotic small subunit ribosomal RNA", at positions 1470 to 1796 of the family's 1831-position model. The record is from RNAcentral.
CCCUUAGAUGUUCUGGGCCGCACACACGCUACACUGAAGGAGGCAGCGUGUACUCCUGGAUCGAAAGAUUUGGGUAACCCGCGAAUCUCCUUCGUGCUAGGGAUUGAGGUUUGCAAUUAUCCUUCAUGAACGAGGAAUUCCCAGUAAGUGCAAGUCAUAAGCUUGCGCUGACUACGUCCCUGCCCUUUGUACACACCGCCCGUCGCUACUACCGAUUGAAUGAUUUAGUGAGGACUUCGGACUGGGACCGAUGCGGCUUUCGGGCUGCGUCGGUAUUCUGGAAAGAUGUCCAAACUGUAUCAUUUAGAGGAAGUAAAANUCGUANCA